AGCAGCCGCGGUAAUUCCAGCUCCAAUAGCGUAUAUUAAAGUUGCUGCAGUUAAAAAGCUCGUAGUUGAAUUUCGGGAUCAAUAUGUUGGUCGUGCCUCGGUACGUACUAGCUUAUUGGUUUCUCCCUUCUGACGAACCAUGAUGUCAUUUAUUUGGUGUUAUGGGGAAUCAGGACUGUUACUUUAGAAAAAUUAGAGUGUUUAAAGCAGGCUUACGCUUGAAUACAUUAGCAUGGAAUAAUGAAAUAGGACGUUUGAUUCUAUUUUGUUGGUUUCUAGGAUCGACGUAAUGAUUAAUAGGGAUAGUUGGGGGCAUUAGUAUUCAAUUGUCAGAGGUGAAAUUCUUGGAUUUAUUGAAGACUAACUACUGCGAAAGCAUUUGCCAAGGAUGUUUCAUUAAUCAAGAACGAAAGUUAGGGGAUCGAAGACGAUCAGAUACCGUCGUAGUCUUAACCAUAAACUAUGCCGACUAGGGAUCGGAUGAUGUUAAUUUUUAAUGUAACUCA
Molecule: ribosomal RNA, 506 nt
Filed under: uncultured Glomeraceae
Lineage: Eukaryota; Fungi; Glomeromycota; Glomeromycetes; Glomerales; Glomeraceae
Description: SSU rRNA
Rfam family: Eukaryotic small subunit ribosomal RNA
Source: RNAcentral